GUCGGAUCCGCCCGGCGGCGGCCCGGCGCGUCGCGCUGCAGGACCGUCAGGGCGACGGCGCGCUCAGUCGCGGGCAGAGCGGGAGGGUGGACGCAGGCAAGAGAAUCUCAAGAUGUGAGAUGAGUGUGUUUAAGUUUUCAGCUACCAGACCCUGACCAGGGAGUAUGAAGCGCUGGUGCAGAAUUACCUGCACCUGCUACUGAUCGUGGAGACAAGAAGACAGUGGUCACGCAGCUGCAGCAGCAGAUCAAGGACACAUCCCUGCUCAAGGACAGUGAGCGCAUCCAGUCCACACAGACUGUUACCUCUGACGACGAAGACAGUGACAUCAAGAAAAUUAAGAAGAUCUGCACCAUUCCUCUGGGCUGGCACAAAUGUCCCUUCCCAGCCCUCUUGAGAGAGCCUCCUACGACAGCCCAGUGUUGGCAGUGUCUACCUCCUGUCCCACGGCCGCCAGGGCAUGCUACCUCCCACCUCAGCUCCAAAGACAGAACUGACAGCUUAUUACUCCUGAACAGCACCUUGUCAAGGCAUUUCUUCUGGUUGUCCUUGUGCAGUAGGGGGUUCAGCCGCAUUGUAUAGAUGAGAAAAAUGAGACUCCAGGAGAGGAGGCAGUCGACAGAGGCAGGACGAGAACCCAGGCCAUGAGACUCGCAGCUGAGAGCUCUCCUCAACGCCAGGCAGCCUCAGUAAGACCCCAGAGGCACCUCUCCACUGUCACUCCCGUGCAUGCCCCCCGACCCAGAGGAAGUCAUGCAAACACUUCCUCUCACAAUUGCCCCCUUUAGUCCCCAGCAGACCUCAGCAUGGGAACCCAGCCUUAUAAGACCCCAUAGGUGGCCCCACUGGUUCUGCCUUGUUAGAGUCCAGAAGAGGCAGACGUCUCAGAAGGUACUGGGGAUCUGCCCAGUGGCCGGGUCCUGACCGGCAGUGUGGGCCACCUCGUGGGGGUUGUGGAGGGAGAGAACAUGGUUUGUGUUUGCAGCUUGCCAGACUUGAAGCAGGGGAGCCUGACUCGCCCCAAGAAAACCAGGGAAAACUGCUUGUUUCCUACUCGUUGCGAGGGCAAGAGAACCGCAGUGCCAUUCAAACCAGAAAGUGCAGACUGGCGCCCACAGGCAAGUUCAGCCUACCCGUGUGUUCAGGAUUUUUAGCCUACACGAUGUUUUGGUUUUUUUCUUUUUUAAUUUGUUGCCAGUGCUUUAAAAGCUAAAUAUUUCAUAUAAAUCUGGAUUUCUGAUUUCUUAAAAAUAGAAAUAGCUAACAUUCAUUAUGCAUGUUCUUUGUGCCAGAUACUAUUCUAGGAGCUUCAUGCAGAUUAAUUUGUUCCUAACUAAAAAUCCUCUGAGGUUUCGUUAUUAUCUGCAUUUCACAUAUGAGGAAGCUGAGGUGCGGAGAGGCAAAGUGACUUACCCAGAUCACACAGCUAAGUAUUUGCAGAGUGACAUUUAAACCCUGGCCGCCAAGCUCAGAGCCCACAUCCUUGGUCACUGGGACACACUGCCUUCUGGAAGAGCAGGAGGUCCUGCAGCCCUGGGCCCACCUCCUACACGUGGUGACAGUUGGCAAGGAGGUGUUGCCCCAUUAGUCCCCACCCAUCUGGUUUCAUGCAUCUCUAGGACCUGCCAGGCCCCCAUAGGCACUAGGAUUUGCCACCAGAUCUGAACCAAGCCCCCCAGGCAGGAGUGCCCUGGCUUACCUUCUCUGCUAUGGUCCCACUGGACUUCCCGGUCCAUUUUGAGAAGGCAUUCUGGUUGGAACAUUUUGUUGAGUACCAGCUGAAACCCCUGAGAUCCACCUCCUUCCCUCCAUUUUCACCCUCGUGGAGCCUCAGAGGAAGCCCUUUUCUCAUCAAGAAAGACUUCCUAUCUUCAAAGAGAGCAGUUGGGGCUCAGGUCUGACCUCCCCUCUCCAGGGCAAACACCCCCAGAAGGCAGAGCUGCACCCAGAUGGCUGCACCGCCGUUCAUGGCCAGUGCCCCUUGCAGCUGAUAAGAUUUUGAUGAGCACCUCUACCUGGUCCCUCAGCAGGUGACCCCUGGAUCCCCAGUCCACCCACCCUAGCACCACCCAGUACUCUUACUCCAGGCGCCCCGGGUCCCUCCCUAUGGGGACCCUGAGCUUGCACGCAGCUCAGCAGCAGGAAUGGCAGGGAGCUGGGUGGCAUCUUGAUUGGAAGCACAUGCGUCUUAAAACAGUUAUCUCUGUGUGUGUGAAUCAAGGCCCUUUCCCAAGUUCUUGCCAAAACAAGGCCACACACGCCAAGCAGCCCAACUCCGAAACAAGUCAAGCGUUAGUGUUCAUUUCCCCAUGGAGGCGGGAGGAGAGGCUCUAGGCAGGCGCUGGUACUCAGAGGUGCCGAUGAGGCCCAAGCAUGAGCUUAACUAAUUUGCCAUGUUCUCUUCAAUUUGAUAAUCACCCUCUGUCCAGCGAGCUGUAAUUGAGACUUCUGGGCUUUCAGGCCAGUCAUUAGAUGAGAUGAGGUGUGAGAUGCGCCCUGCACAGCCUGGCCACUCUCUAGCUUCAAGCCACUUCUCAUUAUGGAGACCUGGGGCCACACUUUUCCUCCUUCAGAGAAUGCUUCUAAAGCAACCUGGGGAUCUUGUUAAAAUGCAGAGGUCUGGGGCGGGGCCUGGGACUCGGCAUUUCUAACAGGCUCUCAGGAGAUGCUGAGGCUACCAGUCCAUGGACCACACUUUGAGUCCAGCUGUCGUCCAGAUGUCGGUGCAUAUAUCUCUUCAAAUUAGUGUUUUAGUGUUCUCUGGAUAGCUACCCAGAAGUCAAAUAGCUGGAUCAUAUGGUAGUUCUAUUUUUAAUUUUUUGAGGAAUCUCCAUAAUGUUUUCCAUAGUGGCUGCACCAAUUUAAAUUCCCACCAGCAGGAUACAAGGGUUCCCUUUU
This is a non-coding RNA of Equus caballus (horse), 2898 nucleotides long. The record is from RefSeq and is a predicted model, not a curated record. NCBI's taxonomy places the organism in Eukaryota, Metazoa, Chordata, Mammalia, Perissodactyla, Equidae.